UUUUUUGAGAGUUUGAUCCUGGCUCAGGAUUAACGCUAGCGGUAUGCCUAAUACAUGCAAGUCGAGCGAAUGUAGCAAUACAUUAGCGGCAAACGGGUGAGUAAUACGUAUCUAACCUACCCUUUAGAGGAGAAUAACCAGUCGAAAGACUGGCUAAUACUCCAUAGGAAAUUGUUUCGCAUGAAAUAAUUUUUAAAGUUCCGUUUGGAACACUUUAGGAUGGGGGUGCGGCUUAUCAGAUAGUUGGUGAGGUAACGGCCCACCAAGUCAAUGACGAGUAGCUAUGCUGAGAGGUAGAAUAGCCACAAUGGGACUGAGACACGGCCCAUACUCCUACGGGAGGCAGCAGUAGGGAAUUUUUCACAAUGGGCGCAAGCCUGAUGGAGCAAUACCGCGUGGAUGAUGAAGGUCUUUGGAUCGUAAAAUCCUUUUAUUAGGGACGAAUCACAACAGUAGGAAAUGAUUGUUGUUUGACUGUACCUGAUGAAUAAGUAACGGCAAACUAUGUGCCAGCAGCCGCGGUAAUACAUAGGUUACAAGCGUUAUCCGGAUUUACUGGGCGUAAAGCGAGCGCGGGCUGGCUUACAAGUCUGAUGUGAAAUGCAGUUGCUCAACAACUGUAUGCAUUGGAAACUGUAAGUCUAGAGUGUAAUAGAGAGUUCUGGAACUCCAUGUGGAGCGGUGGAAUGCGUAGAUAUAUGGAAGAACACCAGAGGCGAAGGCGAGAACUUAGGUUAACACUGACGCUUAGGCUCGAAAGUGUGGGGAGCAAAUAGGAUUAGAUACCCUAGUAGUCCACACCGUAAACGAUGAUCAUUAGAUGUUGGCAUUUACAUGUCAGCGUCGUAGCUAACGCAUUAAAUGAUCCGCCUGGGUAGUACAUUCGCAAGAAUGAAACUCAAACGGAAUUGACGGGGACCCGCACAAGUGGUGGAGCAUGUUGUUUAAUUCGACAGUACACGCAAAACCUUACCAGGGUUUGACAUGUUGAGCAAUGUUAUAGAAAUAUAACGGAGGCUAACUCAAACACAGGUGGUGCAUGGUUGUCGUCAGCUCGUGUCGUGAGAUGUUGGGUUAAGUCCCGCAACGAGCGCAACCCUUAUCGUUAGUUACUUUAUCUAGCGAGACUGCUAACGCAAGUUAGAGGAAGGUGGGGAUGACGUCAAAUCAUCAUGCCCUUUAUACCCUGGGCUACAAACGUGCUACAAUGGUCGGUACAAACUGUUGCGAAAUCGUAAGAUCAAGCUAAUCAGAAAAAGCCGAUCUCAGUUCGGAUCGAGGGCUGCAAUUCGUCCUCGUGAAGUUGGAAUCACUAGUAAUCGCGAAUCAGACAUGUCGCGGUGAAUACGUUCUCGGGUCUUGUACACACCGCCCGUCAAACUAUGAGAGCCGCUAAUACCUAAAACCGUUUUUCUAACUCGUAAGAGAUGUAAACGUCUAGGGUAGGAGUGGUGAUUGGAGUUAAGUCGUAACAAGGUACCCCUACGAGAACGUGGGGGUGGAUAACCUCCUUU
Molecule: ribosomal RNA, 1514 nt
Filed under: Mycoplasmataceae bacterium
Lineage: Bacteria; Bacillati; Mycoplasmatota; Mollicutes; Mycoplasmatales; Mycoplasmataceae
Description: bacterial SSU rRNA
Rfam family: Bacterial small subunit ribosomal RNA
Source: RNAcentral